RNAcentral lists this ribosomal RNA (440 nucleotides) under uncultured bacterium. RNAcentral describes it as "partial 16S ribosomal RNA". It matches the Rfam family "Bacterial small subunit ribosomal RNA", at positions 338 to 795 of the family's 1533-position model. The record is from RNAcentral.
CCUACGGGCGGCAGCAGUAGGGAAUAUUGCGCAAUGGGGGAAACCCUGAAGCAGCAACGCCGCGUGGAGGAUGCAGGUUUUGGGAUUGUAAACUCCUUUUGUUAGAGAAGAUAAUGACGGUAUCUAACGAAUAAGCACCGGCUAACUCCGUGCCAGCAGCCGCGGUAAUACGGAGGGUGCAAGCGUUACUCGGAAUCACUGGGCGUAAAGAGCGCGUAGGCGGGACAGCAAGUCAGAUGUGAAAUCCUAUGGCUUAACCAUAGAACUGCAUUUGAAACUGUUAUUCUAGAGUAUGGGAGAGGUAAGUGGAAUUCUUGGUGUAGGGGUAAAAUGCGUAGAGAUCAAGAGGAAUACUCAUGGCGAAGGCGACCUGCUAGAACAUAACUGACGCUGAUGCGCGAAAGCGUGGGGAGCAAACAGGAUUAGAUACCCGAGUAGUC